RNAcentral lists this transfer RNA (77 nucleotides) under Candidatus Altarchaeales archaeon. RNAcentral's name for it is "tRNA-Met". It matches the Rfam family "tRNA". Rfam says of the family: Transfer RNA (tRNA) molecules are approximately 80 nucleotides in length. The record is from RNAcentral. Lineage: Archaea; Nanobdellati; Candidatus Altarchaeota; Candidatus Altarchaeia; Candidatus Altarchaeales.
AGGCCCGUAGCUCAAUCGGUUAGAGCAGCGGUCUCAUAAACCGCGGGUUACCGGUUCAAGUCCGGUCGGGCCUACCA